UACAGAGGGGGCAAGCGUUAUUCGGAAUUAUUGGGCGUAAAGGGCGCGUAGGCGGCCUGGCAAGUGGAUGGUGAAAUCCCUCGGCUUAACCGAGGAACUGCCAUCCAGACUGCUUGGCUUGAGACCGGGAGAGGUGAGUGGAAUUCCCAGUGUAGCGGUGAAAUGCGUAGAUAUUGGGAGGAACACCAGUGGCGAAGGCGGCUCGCUGGACCGGUUCUGACGCUGAUGCGCGAAAGCGUGGGGAGCAAACGGG
This 253-nucleotide ribosomal RNA is filed under the name uncultured bacterium. RNAcentral describes it as "partial 16S ribosomal RNA". It matches the Rfam family "Bacterial small subunit ribosomal RNA", at positions 524 to 776 of the family's 1533-position model. The record is from RNAcentral.